UAAUUUACUUGAUCUUGACACAAUCCUACUUGGAUAACUGUGGUAAUUCUAGAGCUAAUACAUGCAUUAAAGCUCUGACCUCACGGGAAGAGUGCAUUUAUUAGAACAAAACCAAGCGGCUUCGGCUGUUUUCGGUUGACUCAUAGUAACUGAGCUGAUCGCAUGGUCUUGCACCGGCGACGUGUCUUUCAAGUAUCUGCCGUAUCAACUUUCGAUGGUAGUGUAUCUGACUACCAUGGUGAUCACGCGUAACGGAGAAUAAGGGUUCGGCUCCGGAGAGUUCGCCUGAGAAAUCGCGAACACAUCUAAGGAAGGCAGCAGGCGCGAAAAUUACCCACUCUCAGCACGAGGAGGUAGUGACGAAAAAUAACGAGACCGUUCUCUUAUGAGGCCGGUCAUCGGAAUGGGUACAAUUUAAACCCUUUAACGAGUAUCUAUGAGAGGGCAAGUCUGGUGCCAGCAGCCGCGGUAAUUCCAGCU
RNAcentral lists this ribosomal RNA (480 nucleotides) under Nematoda environmental sample. RNAcentral's name for it is "SSU rRNA". It matches the Rfam family "Eukaryotic small subunit ribosomal RNA", at positions 113 to 590 of the family's 1831-position model. Lineage: Eukaryota; Metazoa; Nematoda. The record is from RNAcentral.